CAUCUUCCUCCUCUUAUGGUCACUUGGGUUUUCAUCAAUAUUGUUGUCAUCAAAAGCUAAGGACGACUUCUGUCGCCGGCCACCGUCUUCCGGCUCGCCUGAGUUAGAGAGAGAAGUUGUUGUCACCAGGAGAGAGUCUUGCUGGAAAAUUGGGUGGUUGUGUUGGAAGGGAAUAGAAGAGAAUUGGAAUAGCUCAUCAUUUUGGACAUAUGGAAACAAUGAAGACGCAAAAUCCAUACUAAAAGGCUCAAAAAUGACACUCCUUUGGCUUCUCUCUCUUCUAUCUUCAAUAGGAGAG
This 298-nucleotide long non-coding RNA is filed under the name Actinidia chinensis (golden kiwifruit). Its description in RNAcentral is "long non-coding RNA (ACHI_LNC005814)". Lineage: Eukaryota; Viridiplantae; Streptophyta; Magnoliopsida; Ericales; Actinidiaceae. The record is from RNAcentral.